UAUUAGCCCCGAUUGCAGUGAAAAUCCUUUUACUUUUUUUCAAAAAGGAAAAGAUUGCAACGGAAAGCGGGACGGAAU
Non-coding RNA from Flavobacterium frigoris, 78 nucleotides. The record is from Rfam. NCBI's taxonomy places the organism in Bacteria, Pseudomonadati, Bacteroidota, Flavobacteriia, Flavobacteriales, Flavobacteriaceae.